UACGUAGGGUGCGAGCGUUAAUCGGAAUUACUGGGCGUAAAGGGUGCGUAGGCGGCGCGGUAAGUCGGGUGUGAAAUCUCGGAGCUUAACUCCGAAACUGCAUUCGAUACUGCCGUGCUUGAGGACUGGAGAGGAGACUGGAAUUUACGGUGUAGCGGUGAAAUGCGUAGAUAUCGUAAGGAAGACCAGUGGCGAAGGCGGGUCUCUGGACAGUUCCUGACGCUGAGGCACGAAGGCCAGGGGAGCAAACGGG
Molecule: ribosomal RNA, 253 nt
Filed under: uncultured bacterium
Lineage: Bacteria
Description: partial 16S ribosomal RNA
Rfam family: Bacterial small subunit ribosomal RNA
Source: RNAcentral